AGUUUGAUCAUGGCUCAGAUUGAACGCUGGCGGCAGGCCUAACACAUGCAAGUCGAACGGUAGCACAGAGAGCUUGCUCUUGGGUGACGAGUGGCGGACGGGUGAGUAAUGUCUGGGAAACUGCCCGAUGGAGGGGGAUAACUACUGGAAACGGUAGCUAAUACCGCAUAACGUCGCAAGACCAAAGAGGGGGACCUUCGGGCCUCUUGCCAUCGGAUGUGCCCAGAUGGGAUUAGCUAGUAGGUGGGGUAACGGCUCACCUAGGCGACGAUCCCUAGCUGGUCUGAGAGGAUGACCAGCCACACUGGAACUGAGACACGGUCCAGACUCCUACGGGAGGCAGCAGUGGGGAAUAUUGCACAAUGGGCGCAAGCCUGAUGCAGCCAUGCCGCGUGUAUGAAGAAGGCCUUCGGGUUGUAAAG
This 422-nucleotide ribosomal RNA is filed under the name Citrobacter freundii. Its description in RNAcentral is "bacterial SSU rRNA". It matches the Rfam family "Bacterial small subunit ribosomal RNA", at positions 10 to 430 of the family's 1533-position model. Lineage: Bacteria; Pseudomonadati; Pseudomonadota; Gammaproteobacteria; Enterobacterales; Enterobacteriaceae. The record is from RNAcentral.